RNAcentral lists this small RNA (1538 nucleotides) under Pan troglodytes (chimpanzee). Its description in RNAcentral is "processed transcript". Lineage: Eukaryota; Metazoa; Chordata; Mammalia; Primates; Hominidae. The record is from RNAcentral.
GCACCAGGUAGGGCCCCAGGGAGGAGACUGGGCUUGGUUCUGAUUUAACUCAUGAGAAAUACCAGGAAGUUCUGAGGAAGAUGAAAGAGGAAAAGGAGACGCUGCUUCUUGAAAAACAAAUAUCCAAAGCCCAGAAUGACUCCUCUCAAACAGUGAAACCGGGAUCAAUUUUGGCGGACACCACCCAAAGAAACAUGGCAAGUUUUUCCUAUUCCAAACCUGGGUUUUCCUCUAUCCCUUCCCUCUCCUAGGUUCUCUCUCUCUCUCUCUCUCCCUCCUCUUUAAUAAUCCUAUAAUUAGGAAAUAAUGAGGUUUAGUUCCUACCCCACACCAUGGAAGCUAGGAGGUGGCAGAGCCAGAAUUCAAACCCAGGCAUCCUGACUCCAGGGUCUCUGCUCUUCUGCCUCUCUGUGAACACACGAAAAGCCAUAGCUGUGAUUUUUCAUUGCUUCCCACAGGAGAGGACCACCAUUAAGAAACAGGAGAGAAGGUGUUGGUACAAGUAAGCGGAAGAAUCUUGCUUUUACCUAGCCUAGACCACAUUUCACUCUACACAUUACCUGAUAAGGGCCAAAAGAACAAGAAUAAACACAUCAUCCACUGAUCAGAAUACAUAAGGCAGCCCCAAAUUUCUCCCAACCAUUCUUACUUUUCUCAAUGCAGAAUUAUAACACCAGAGUUAAACAGCAGCUAUAAAUAGCUGGAGAAAUGUGUGGCUAUUUCUGAGAAAUUUGGGAUAAAGAUGUAGGUUGCAUUUAACUUUUAAUUUUCAUUCUUAUGAUCCUAGGUAUAGCACCUUUCCAUUUUUUCAAGUCCUGAGCUUGAUUACCUCUGUGAUAUUCCUUGUUGGGAAAAAAGUUCAGGGUGCAUUAAUUUUCUUAGUUAUCUUCAUGCUUAGAAAUUUUAGAAAAAAGAUCCUUAAACUCUCUGUGCCUUUGCUUUUUUAAUUUUUGAAACAAGAAUAUUGACCCUGAAGAGCUUCAAGUGGCACUUUAAUAAAAAGCCCCAUUCCCUACUUUCCCUUAUCAACUUUGCCUGAAGAAAGCAAUUCACCAGCCAUUUAUGACUGUGAGGUUUGCCUUUCACUGCUUGACCUCGGGCUGUCUUUUUUCUCAUGCAAAUAAUGAACAUCUCUUUGCAGGUAUUUCCAGUAUCUCACCUUCAUGGUCUUAGUCUUUAUUAGGUUGCUGGCUUAUGUGAUUUUCCACCUGCAGUACAUAAACCCAGAUCUUCUCGUGGAUGUCCUGCCCCUGGUGCUGAGCAGGGGCACCUUGGAGAGUCUGAGGAAGGUCUCACAUCCCUUCCUCACUCUAGCAGUGGAAGAAGCACUACCACACUAGUCUGGGGUGACCUGCGGGCAUCACCCCACACCUGAGUGGAGGUGACCGUGGCUGUGGCCCCAUGUUGGGGAUGGCCAGGAAGGAUGUGGAAGCCUUUGACUCAGAGCCGCUACUUGACAUCUGAGUUUUUCAUUUCAUUCUUUCCCUGCUUUCCCUCUGGAAUGUCUCUCUUUCAAGUAAAGAAUAUGUCUGACGAGA